RNAcentral lists this unclassified non-coding RNA (241 nucleotides) under uncultured fungus. RNAcentral describes it as "partial contains 5.8S ribosomal RNA, internal transcribed spacer 2, and large subunit ribosomal RNA". Lineage: Eukaryota; Fungi. The record is from RNAcentral.
AACGCACAUUGCGCCUCUAGGUAUUCCUUGAGGCAUGCCUGUUCGAGCGUCGUUUGACCAUAAGGCUUUGCCUUGCGUUGAGCCGUCCGACGAUUUCGGUCGCCGGAGGUUCCAAAACGAUUGGCGCCGUAGUCUGCCAGUGUUGCACCCUCGUGCCGCAUCUCCAGACGAAAGCCGCCCUAAUCCAUCAAUAAUUUAUCAGGUCGACCUCGGAUCAAGCAAGACUACCCGCUGAACUUAA